GUUUCGCCAACCCAGUCCCUUCGCCAUAUUGCUAAUAAGGCACGGCGUCAAGGGCUGCGAGCGAACAGGUUUCGCCAUCCCUUGCCCUUUGCCAUAGUGUCAAUAAGGCAUGGCGUCAAGGGCUGCGGAAGAAGAGGUUUCGCCACACCCACGCCCUUCGCCAUAGUGCCAAUAAGGCACGGCGUCAAGGGCUGCGGGCGAACAGGUUUCGCCCACCCACGCCCUUUUGCCAAUAAGGGACGGCGUCAAGGGCAGUGGGCGAAGAGGUUUCGCCUACCAACACCCUUCGCCAUAGUACCAAUAAUGCACGGCGUCAAGGGCUGCGGGCGAACAGGUUUCGCCCACCCAUGCUCUCCGCCAUAG
This 363-nucleotide long non-coding RNA is filed under the name Oryza sativa Indica Group (long-grained rice). Its description in RNAcentral is "lncRNA OsPr106_11g0009660". The record is from RNAcentral. Lineage: Eukaryota; Viridiplantae; Streptophyta; Magnoliopsida; Poales; Poaceae.